GCUGAAAUAGCAAAGUGGUUAAUGCAAAAGACUUAGGAUCUUCCAACGUGGGUUCAAAUCCUUCUUUCAGCU
This 72-nucleotide transfer RNA is filed under the name Temnopleurus reevesii. RNAcentral's name for it is "tRNA-Leu". It matches the Rfam family "tRNA". From Rfam's summary of the family: Transfer RNA (tRNA) molecules are approximately 80 nucleotides in length. Their secondary structure includes four short double-helical elements and three loops (D, anti-codon, and T loops). Further hydrogen bonds mediate the characteristic L-shaped molecular structure. tRNAs have two regions of fundamental functional importance: the anti-codon, which is responsible for specific mRNA codon recognition, and the 3' end, to which the tRNAs corresponding amino acid is attached (by aminoacyl-tRNA synthetases). tRNAs cope with the degeneracy of the genetic code in two manners: having more than one tRNA (with a specific anti-codon) for a particular amino acid; and 'wobble' base-pairing, i.e. permitting non-standard base-pairing at the 3rd anti-codon position. The record is from RNAcentral. Lineage: Eukaryota; Metazoa; Echinodermata; Echinoidea; Temnopleuroida; Temnopleuridae.